AGAGCCCUGCAAAGCAACAUAGAAUUAUGUUAAACCCACAUAUUUCAUUGUCUGCACCAAUCACUUUCUAGCAUUACAAGCACUACGCUCCCGAGCAUAGCAACAAAUAUUGGCUUUCAGCUGCUUUCAGUGGCUUUCAGCUUCCAAUUGCUGCCUCAAGGAAUCCCUGAUCCUUACGGCCCUGUGCUGUGUCCCUCUAAUAGCCCAGGUCUCAGACUGUUCAGAGCUCAGGACUCUUGACCAGUAUGCUGCUCGCUCUUGCUAAGAUGUCAUGAAUGGCAGUGGAAUUAUUUCUUACAAAGGCAAGAGGAGUGUGACAUUGAUCUUUCCAUGCAUACUAGCUAUGGCACGAGAUUGCUUGUAGAACUCAGAGGCGCUGACCACGGGAACGCUGCUUUUGGGCUCGGGAAACACUGAGUGAUGGGAUUACGUUGUGAUGCACAUCUGGGAUGACGAGCAGUGGCUGCAGAACUUUUGAAUGAGGAAAGCCACAUUCAUAGGACUAUGUGAUGAGCUUGCCCCAUGCCCUGAGUCUGCAGACUGCCUUAUGUAAUAGUUGAGAUGUGUGAACUGGCCCAGUAAUCUCAAUUGGUUGUCAGUUCUGAAACAUUAUAAUGGCAAUGUGAGUCAACUGUUUCAAUUAUCACUUUAGCCGUUAGCAUUUCACAUAAUUUAAGCAAGGUAUCAUUUGUAUAAAGAAUUUAAAUCAAGUCUUAGGUUCUCAUCUCUGCUACUGACCUGCUGUGAGGCAUGGGCAUGUCACUACCUCUCUGCACCUCUGUUUUUCUUUCCUUUUAAUUCUUCUGGGAAUGGGCUUUCUUCCUAUGGCCUUGCCUUCAGGUAGUUUGUUUAUCCCACAAUCUCAAACUGUGUCCUUCCUUUUGGAUACUAAAGUCUACAUUGCCCCUGCCACACUGGCAAAGCAUCCAACUUCAUAUUGUCUACAAUGUAACGAUUCAUUGUAAAUACAAAAGUUUGUGGUGCACUGAAAAGUAAAAUGUAUACGUCGCAGAUUUAAAGGGAUUGGAGCAACCCUAUUUUUCAGUGUGUGAGGCCCAAAGGGGCCAUACUUCUUUCAGUUCGAGUCAUGCAGCCCCCGAUUCUGAGUCUGAACUUUUGGGCUGUAGCACACCCGCUUCUUACUGUUGCUUUCAACAAAGUCCAACUGAAAUCAGACUUCUGAGAGAGGCUGUACCUUCUGAAGGAGCAAUGCAACCAGCAAAGUAUUUGCAGUGAAGCAGGCAGCCUUUUCAAAACAAGAUGGCAUUUAUUAGUCAACUGGAAUAGAACAUAUGGCAGACCUUAGGUGAGCAAGUCUAAGGUUAAAACCAAGUCUAAGUCAGAAUCCAUAUUGGUAGCAAUGGUCCCAAGAUUCCAUUCUCUUCUGAGAUCUGUGGUGUUUCCCAAUAUCUGUCUCUGGAUAUGUCUACGUUGCAAUGUAAGCCCAUUCUUGAGCCUGGGCUCCAGCCUAACUCCUCUUGCAUCUGCACUGCAGUUGUGCUAACCUUGGAUCGAGGGUCGCAGGGCUGGAGGGUCUGAACUGGAGUUAAGCCAGGAUACAGGGUUCGAGUCCUAUUGCUUUGCAGUGUAAAUGCAACCCUGUUUGACUCGGGUCCUGGGAGUUAGCCAGAAUCCCACAAUUCUAUGGGAUAACUUCCUUCGUCCUCCCUAUCCCAAGAAUCUACAAUCCACUCUAUUGAAAACAAGAAGCCACCCCCACUUUGCAAACAGCAGCAGCUCAGGUUGGCGUUGCCCAUUCUUUUCUGAUCAUCAGUCUGUAAGCAUACUAUCAGAGAGCCUCCUGGGUUUGCAAUGGAGAGCGAACUGAUCAAACCUUUUGCAAAGCGAGCUGCUUCAUGGUCACGAGAACACAACCAGAUUUGGUGGCCAGUAAAAUUGUGGACUUCAGCAAAAGUGCCAGGUCUGACUAUGCGUACCAGAAGAUAGCUUAAAAAACUGGCAGCUCUACAGAUUUUUUUUUUUUUUUUUUUUUUUUGGACAAGUGUCCAGUGCAGGGAGCGUAUUAAGAGGCUGAAGAGUGAGUACUGGAAGACUAGGGACAAGAACCACACCUCAGGCAACUCAUCAACAACAUGCCCAUUUUAUGUCGUCUAUGGGUUUUGGACACUGCACCCAGCACAGAGUCCACUCUGCUUCAUGAUGACUUAGUCAGCAGGGGUAUCUCCUGCUGGCCCCUGAAUGCAGCAUGGGAACUGAUGGUAGCCAGCAACAGGCUCCCAGUGAGGAGCUUGAAUAGACUCUCUCCUUUUUAAUGAAAAAAAAUCCCAGAGCAGGCUGUGGAUCAGGAUCAACAGCAAAUUCUCUGACCCUACUUGGAAGAACUGUUUGCUUUCUACCAUUCUCCAUCCCUGACAAGGAACAGCCCACUGACAAACCUGCAGAGAACCUGAUGGAGACAGACGCUACCCCAGAGCCCAGUAAGUGUGACUCAAAUGUAAAGUUUAUUAUUACAGUAGUGGGAGAGGUUUCUGCUGUAAGAAGCAAUGCAAAAAUAAGGCUUGGCUACUGGUGUUCAGUUACUAAUGGCUGACUGUAUAACAGCACCUAGAUGUCUCCCCCCCUAGUCCCCCAAAUGGAGUUCAAAAUGGUGACUUGGAAUUUCAAAUGUUCAUAGACAGCUGAAAGUUAUUUUAACUAUGUCACAGUUGUUGGCUAGGGUCAUUCUUGUUUUCCUUUCAGUAAUAAGUUUGCGACUCUGUAAUCGCUCCUCCUGGGUCUACUGAGCCACUUGUGAACUGUGUGUGUGUGUUUGGGAAACAGUAUUCUAUUUCCAAAUCUAGUCCAUUCAAUUAAAGGACCUUCAAGCUAUGUUGCCUGCUGUUCUUCAGGAACUUGAUCCACGGCCCAACGUAUCCUCAUGGAUGAUUCCAAAAGGAAGUGUUUCCACGAUGACGUUAUGAUUGAUGUUCUUGAGAGGGUAGACCAGCAGGUCCAGUACCAGAAGAAAAGAGCUGAAAGACUGGAACAAUGGCACGCUGACAGGCAGCAGGAAAGGCUAACCUUUGCUGCCCAAAUGGAAGACAGGGUUUCAGUGAGGGAGCAGGCACUUGCAAAUCUGUUCUUGGAACAGGAAUGGCAGCUAAGGGAAGAGGACAGAGCUCAACGGAGAGAACUGUUCAGCAACUCCUGUCCAUAAUGACUGCAAGAGCACCAGCUCCUGCUGCCUCCCCCACACCAUGGCAUGAUCACCCUGCAAGAUACCAGCAGUAGCUUGGAUAUCUCCAUUUUGGGGCAGCUUGUGCAUUCAGGAGUCAUGAGGUGCGGGGCAGGACAACUACACACCAUGCAGCCUUUCUUCUUCAACCCCUUUCCAGUGGAAACCUCCAUCCAUCUCCCCUGCUGUCAAGUGAGGAGAAAAUAUGUAAAGAAGGGAAAGGAGAAUGUGGGGCCUGGGGACAUGUAGAAGUAGAUUGUGUUGGGUCCUUUUUUGUGGAUCUGCCCAAGGCUGUUUUUACUGUUUUAAGACAUUUUUACAAAUAAAGCGUGCUAUGUUUUCAA
This is a long non-coding RNA of Dermochelys coriacea (leatherback sea turtle), 3519 nucleotides long. RefSeq lists it as uncharacterized. The record is from RefSeq and is a predicted model, not a curated record. NCBI's taxonomy places the organism in Eukaryota, Metazoa, Chordata, Testudines, Dermochelyidae. The transcript is spliced from 2 exons.